AGAGAAUGGUCCAUUCUAUCCUA
This 23-nucleotide non-coding RNA is filed under the name Arabidopsis thaliana (thale cress). Lineage: Eukaryota; Viridiplantae; Streptophyta; Magnoliopsida; Brassicales; Brassicaceae. The record is from RNAcentral.